CCUACGGGGGGCAGCAGUCGAGAAUCAUUCACAAUGGGGGAAACCCUGAUGGUGCGACGCCGCGUGGGGGAAUGAAGGUCUUCGGAUUGUAAACCCCUGUCAUGUGGGAGCAAAUUAAAAAGAUAGUACCACAAGAGGAAGAGACGGCUAACUCUGUGCCAGCAGCCGCGGUAAUACAGAGGUCUCAAGCGUUGUUCGGAAUCACUGGGCGUAAAGGGUGCGUAGGCUGUUUCGUAAGUCGUGUGUGAAAGGCGCGGGCUCAACCCGCGGACGGCCCAUGAUACUGCGAGACUAGAGUAAUGGAGGGGGAACCGGAAUUCUCGGUGUAGCAGUGAAAUGCGUAGAUAUCGAGAGGAACACUCGUGGCGAAGGCGGGUUCCUGGACAUUAACUGACGCUGAGGCACGAAGGCCAGGGGAGCGAAAGGGAUUAGAUACCCGAGUAGUC
Molecule: ribosomal RNA, 446 nt
Filed under: uncultured bacterium
Lineage: Bacteria
Description: partial 16S ribosomal RNA
Rfam family: Bacterial small subunit ribosomal RNA
Source: RNAcentral